This is a long non-coding RNA of Myotis brandtii (Brandt's bat), 3377 nucleotides long. RefSeq lists it as uncharacterized. Lineage: Eukaryota; Metazoa; Chordata; Mammalia; Chiroptera; Vespertilionidae. The transcript is spliced from 3 exons. The record is from RefSeq and is a predicted model, not a curated record.
CUUCUAGGAAGACCUGAGGCCUGGGGGGCAUUGCUCCUGAGACCACCUGUUCCCUGGUCUUGACUUGCCCCCUGCCAACCCCGCCCCCCACACACACACAGACAUUGGAUAAGGAGAAAUUCAUGACUCAGCAGAAUAAAAGUGAACAUUUAAUGCACCAUCAUUUGAUCUUCUUAAACACCAGGAUCUCUUUUGACAACACUGCACCUCAUAUGCCGCAGACAAUGUCUCACACGGAAAUGGCAGCAGCUCAUGGCUCGCGGCCCCAGUCUACGCGACCAUCGCUCCCGGGGCCAGGUGGUCCUCCGGUCGCCUGCCGUCCGGGCCCCCGUGGGGACGACUGACUGGCCGCUGAGCUGUGCGCAGGCCCAGGCACAGACCAGCCUCCUUCUAACGGGCUGCCGGGCCCUGCCCACGGGCAGAGUCGCUGCAUUUCUGACUUUAACAGAUGAACUUUAUUAAACAUUUUUAACAGCAAACACUCGUAAGCUAAGAACUCAAUGUUCAAAACGGCACCAAUCUUUUGUCCAGUUAAACAGUGAAUUUCAAACAAUGACAUUAAAUACAACCAUUGACUUUGCCAACAGGAUUUCAUGAACUUGGUGAAUGUUCUGUUUCAGACACGAUAAAUGCACUUGGGCAGGCCUUGCCGCCGACGUCCGGCGGGCCCGUUGCUACGCGAAGCAUAUUUACAUACACAUACAUACGUGACGGAGCUGGAGGAGCCACAGAGGCAUUUAGCACAACGUCCCCGUUUUACAGACCAGACAGUUCUAGGGAAGUCAGGCCAUCCCCCAAAGCCACAGGACUAGGGUCAGAGCCGGGUCAGAGCCGGGCUCCUGUCCUGCGCUCCUCACCACGCCGCAGACCUUCUGCACACAUGCACCCGCCCCGCCCCAUGCACACAUGUCAGCGCCUCCGUGUGGUGCGUCACCGGACACACACCUGGAGCCGCAGCAGCUCCUGGGAGGAGCCCGAGACGCGGGCUCGAGCCAGUCCUGCCAGGAACCCCGCGGUGCACGGCCACCUGCUGACUCAGCGCUCCGUCUCCCGCUGCAGCUCCCAUUUCUUCAAAGCCCGUUACCCCUCCGCUACCCGCUUUCUCUCCACACGACCCCAGAGGGCAGCUCUCGGGACCCCGACCCUCCAUGGGGAGCCCGAGGCUCAGCACAGUCCAGCGACCCGUCCAGGCUGUACAGCAGGUGUCCUCACUCCACGCGAGGCGUCCCUCCUGGUCACCUGCCUCUGCCAUGAGCCAGGGACCCCAGCCCUCCCGCUCCAGCCGGGGGAGGGGACCAGACCCCUCACGCAAUUCCGGUUGUAAGACUCACUAAAGUGCUUUGGUUUCUCCAGGAAAAGGCGGUGCUGUGUGUCCCAGGUAAGGAGCUCUGGCUGCUUUUCCACGCCCCUCAGGGGCAGCGGGCGGGCUUUAGGGGAACGCAGGAGCCUAACCCUGUGCCAUUUUUCAGAUUUCAGCCUCGAACCAGCCGGGUCCUCUCCACCCCACCCCGGCCCCCCUCCCAGGCCCAUGGAGGCAGAUUUCCAAGCCCCUCAUCAAACUCAGAAGGAAGGUACCUCUUCCCCGUCAGCUGCUCACAUAGAAACAGCUCAGCCUUGAGCUGACCCCUGGGAGGACUGGGCCCUCAUCCCUGUUCUCCUGGCUUCUUUCUUUCUCUUCCCUCCCCGGCCCCUGACUCGCCAGAAGGAGGGGAACAGCCCCCUCAGACCCACCGAACACAUGCGGACGCGGAGGCGCAGACGGCAGCGCCCACCCUGACGCACAGGACUCUCCUAAGGCGGCCGCAAUGCCCUGAGGUAGCAGCACCAACAGCCUCCACCCGCUGCUCCUGCUCCCGCUGCCGGCGCCCUGAGGGUCGGCUCACGUGCGGCGUUGGGGACAGCCAGGCCGGCGGAAGGCAGCUCCUGGUUCACGCAACCCUCUGACCUUGUGGAGGCCACGAAAACCGGGCCGUGUGGCAGGAGGCAGGUAAGGAGAUCUGGGAAGAGCGAAGUCUGUGCUGUUUGCACUGGGGGACCCUCCAGGCGAGGCGCCAGGCCCGAGGCGUCUGCCCAGGAGGGACCCGGGAUGUGCCCGGGGAAAGGCCAGGGGCACUGACUGCUGACCCGGAUUUGUUCCCAGCAAAGACCAGCCCCUCACUGUCGGCGCCCCCGCGAGGCUCUCCUUUCAAACCGCCACCGAAGGGCGCCACGUGGCAACUCAAACCCAGACUGGGGUCCCCUGGGGCCCAGGCGCUUCCACGACGUUGCUGUCGGACAGGCUGGCUCACCACGUGCUUUGACCAGGGCCAGACCACCUGACGUACGGCCGCGGGCCGGCCGUUCCCCAACCUGCGAGUCUCCAGUGGCACGGCUGGCGCCCCCGAGCGCAUCCACGCCCAGGAGGCCUCGGAACCGGCAGACUCCCUGCUCUAAUCCACGCACAAACCCAGAGCACAGAAGCGAUGGCGCUGGUGUGGGUUCAAGCUUCCAGUCCAGAGUCUUUGGAAUGACAUGAGAAUGUUGCAGGGCCCUGAACACCCGGAUGAUCGGGUAACGGAACCUGAACGUGCGGGACGCGGAGGGACACUGUACGGACAAGCACCCGCCCAGAGGACACGCGGGGCUGGCGCAGAGGCCCCCCCUCUUAGAGAAGCCGUGUCCUCUCAUCGCUCCAGCUCAGGUGCCCUCCCCGGACCCCCUGCCGCUACCACCUCCUUGGGAGAAACAGCGGCUGGGCCGUGGGGCCUCCACGUGCGGCUGGGGCGGCCUCAGCAGAAGAGCCGUGAGAGACGGGUAACAUUUAUUCAUACGCAACACCAACUAGGAAACAGCUCUACACACAACGACUCAGAAACACAAGUCGGGAUCAGGGCGCAGCACCCGGAGCAGCGAGCGGGGACAGUCCCGCCGGCUCGCUUUGCGCUGUUUUGUUGUUUGCGUCUUGACUAGCACCAUCUGCGCACAACGAAGGAGGACGUAAGUGGGUAACAGUGAAGAUUUGCAAGGCACUUAAUCAGUCGUCUGGGUGACGAUCGGCGUUGUCUCGGCUUCCCAACAGCAACCCACGUCCACCUGCCCCUCCUCACCAGACCAGGGCCCGAGGGAGGUCUCUUUUGCCAGCGGUCCUUAUGGACAAACACGUUCUAGAAAGUUCCUCAAAGUGCUUUUUCAGUCUCACGAGGCUUCCACUUCCCUUGGCCUCCCAUCGUUCUCUCCUCCUACGCGUGUCCGGUGUUGGCACCGCUCCUACAGAAACAGCUCUGCUCAACGCCACCGCAGACUUGCCACCAACCUUCAUCCUCCUUCCAUGGGCUCAGCGCCGCCUGCACGGGGCCUGGAGUGUGGGCCUGGGGCCUCGAGCAUGGGCCUGGCUGCAG